Molecule: ribosomal RNA, 403 nt
Filed under: uncultured bacterium
Lineage: Bacteria
Description: partial 16S ribosomal RNA
Rfam family: Bacterial small subunit ribosomal RNA
Source: RNAcentral
AUUGAACGCUGGCGGCAGGCCUAACACAUGCAAGUCGAGCGAGCGGCGGACGGGUGAGUAAUGUAUGGGGACUGCCCGAUAGAGGGGGAUAACUACUGGAAACGGUGGCUAAUACCGCAUACUAUCGGAUAACCCAUAUGGGAUUAUCUAGUAGGUGGGGUAAAGGCUCACCUAGGCGACGAUCUCUAGCUGGUCUGAGAGGAUGAUCAGCAACACGGGGACUGAGACACGGCCCAUACUCCUACGGGGGCAGCAGUGGGGAAUAUUGCACAGUGGGGGCAACCCGGACGCAGCCAUGCCGCGGGAGUGAAGAAGGUCUUCGGGGUUUAAAGUUCGUUCGGUAGCGAGGCGUUAACUACAGAAGAAGCACCGGCUAACUCCGUGCCAGCAGCCGCGGUAAUUC